GACGAACGCUGGCGGCGUGCUUAACACAUGCAAGUCGAACGAAGUGGCGCACGGGUGAGUAACGCGUAAUCAACCUGCCCUUCAUAGGGGGACAACAGUUGGAAACGACUGCUAAUACCGCAUACUGCAGUAGGGGAUUGCGUCUGAUUAGCUAGUGGGAGGGGUAACGGCCCACCAAGGCGAUGAUCAGUAGCCGGUCUGAGAGGGUGAACGGCCACAGUGGGAAUGAGACACGGCCCAGACGUCUACGGGGGGCAGCAGUGGGGAAUCUUCCGCAAUGGACGAAAGUCGGACGGAGCAACGCCGCGUGAGUGAUGACGGCCUUCGGGUUGUAAAGCUCUGUUAAUCGGGACGCGGUACCGGAAUAGAAGGCCACGGCUAACUACGUGCCAGCAGCCGCGGUAAUUC
This 408-nucleotide ribosomal RNA is filed under the name uncultured bacterium. Its description in RNAcentral is "partial 16S ribosomal RNA". It matches the Rfam family "Bacterial small subunit ribosomal RNA", at positions 28 to 526 of the family's 1533-position model. The record is from RNAcentral.